Molecule: unclassified non-coding RNA, 336 nt
Filed under: soil metagenome
Description: partial contains 5.8S ribosomal RNA, internal transcribed spacer 2, and large subunit ribosomal RNA
Rfam family: 5.8S ribosomal RNA (bases 1-120)
Source: RNAcentral
GAUGAAGAACGUAGCGAAACGCGAUAUGUAAUGUGAAUUGCAGAAUUCAGUGAAUCAUCGAAUCUUUGAACGCACAUUGCGCCCCUUGGUAUUCCGGGGGGCAUGCCUGUUCGAGCGUCAUUUCAACCCUCAAGCUCUGCUUGGUAUUGGGCUCCGUCCUCCUCGGACGCGCCUCAAAGACCUCGGCGGUGGCGUCUUGCCUCAAGCGUAGUAGAAACACCUCGCUUUGGAGUGCAUGGCGUCGCCCGCCGGACGAAACCUUUUGUAUUUUCUCAAGGUUGACCUCGGAUCAGGUAGGGAUACCCGCUGAACUUAAGCAUAUCAAUAAGCGGAGGA